RNAcentral lists this small RNA (886 nucleotides) under Oryza sativa Japonica Group (Japanese rice). RNAcentral's name for it is "sRNA Os10g0101900". The record is from RNAcentral. Lineage: Eukaryota; Viridiplantae; Streptophyta; Magnoliopsida; Poales; Poaceae.
GUUGUGAUCCAACUAUGUAUGUGUGUACCAACUACUGAUCCAGGGAUUGGUACGGAUAAACACAGAAGAUUUCCGAUUUCCAAAAUCGAGGGUCUGUAGCCGCUCGCCUCGCCAGUUGCAGGAUUGCUAGCUCGCGCGUACGCGCCAGCAGAGAAGCUGGCGCGCACGCUAGCUGCGCCUGGCUCUAGCGCUCUUUUUUUUUCUGAUUUUCUUUAUGAUUUUUUUUGUUACACGUUUGUUCCAUAUCACGGAAAAAAAGUUUCCUUUUUUUAUUCUUCUUUUCUUUUCCAGAAACUACAUAAACAAACUUUUAAGUAAGAUUUGAAAUCUUUUCAACUUAUAUUCAAAAAUUUUCAAUUCCAGAUUUAAAAGUUUAAACUUAUAUUUAAAAUCUUUCAAUAUAGAUUUGAAAAUUUCCAAGUCAAGAUUGAAAUCUUCCAGCUAGGAUUUGAAAACUUUUAAGUCAAGAUUGAAAUCUUUCAACUUAGAUUUGAAAACUUCCAAGUGAAGAUUAAAAACUUUCAACUCAGAUUUGAAAACUUCCAAGUCCAAAUUUGAAACUUUAAACUUAGAUUUGAAAACUUUCAGUUCGGAUUUGAAAACUUUUAAAUCAAGAUUUAAAACUUUCUAAGUCAGAUUUGAAAACUUUCAACUGAAGAUUUGAAACAUUUAAGUCAAAUUUAAAAACUUUCAAGUCAAAAUUCAAAAUAUUCAAUUUAAAUUUAAAAACUUUCAUCUCAAAAUUCAAAGCAUUCAACUUAAAUUUUAAAAACUUUCAACUCAAAUUUAAAACUUUCAACUGAAAUUGGAGGUGAAAGAUUCAAUUUAUAAAAUAUAGCACGGAAAUAAAUCGCGCGACCACGUAAAGAAAAUAAGGGAGCGAUUC